Long non-coding RNA from Amphibalanus amphitrite, 1536 nucleotides. RefSeq lists it as uncharacterized. The transcript has 3 exons. NCBI's taxonomy places the organism in Eukaryota, Metazoa, Arthropoda, Thecostraca, Balanomorpha, Balanidae. The record is from RefSeq and is a predicted model, not a curated record.
UGGUAUCGGGGACUCGGCCGGCAUCGUUAGCACAGAAGAUCCUCAGUCAUAGUUAACAAAAUGGAAAAAAAUUAGCUGUGUUUUUAAGAUUCCAGUGGUGGCCAUCAACUGCUCAGGAAAGCAGCCCAGAAUCACUUCACAACAGGUUUCCAAAGGAUCAUCAUUCAUCAGCACAGAAGGGUGGGAAAGAGAAGGCUGUUCAAAUUAUGAAAAGCCAGAGCUGCAAAGGAGGUCAAAGAUGCAGUGCAUUUGGCCCACUCAGUAGAGUUUCACUAGUGGUUCUGAUGUGGACUGAAGAUUACACGCUGGAUUGAAGUGGCCGGUCUGGAGCAGCUGUAGUUUAUCAUUCUUGCUGAUUGUGGCCGAGUAAGAGCCCGCGUUGGCCCCGAUCGGCGAUCGCUGGCCAAAGCCCACCACCAGUUUGGUGAUAGGCGUUGGCUGUGAUAUCUAGUGUCGCCUAUGUGUGAAAAGGACAAGUUGAUAACAAAACCUGUUGCGCCAUGUUAUUAACCCGCGCCCGGGUGGCCCUCAGCCAACUUGGGGGGGGGGGAGGUGUAUUCGGCCACACUAGGUUAUCUUGGAAUGUAGCAAAGCUGGAAAGACGCAGUAAAAUCAAUCUAUAGAUCGCUAUUUUUCUUCAGAAUCAUACAGGUCAUUUUUGAUCAGGUCAUCGCUGAGGUCACUGGAGGUCACCAAAAGUAAAAUGAUGACGAAUUUUGGCCCCCGAUUUUGACAACUUCACAAAUUGGUUCAUAAUUCGGGAACCAAAGAAGCUACAGCGCCGCGGAAAAGCGAAUUCGAUAGCUCUUUCGAAAAUCUUUCAGGUUAUCAGAUUUGAGCUAAGGUCAACUAGGGUUAAGCCUCCAAAGGGCAAAAACUGAACAAUCGGCUUGCUUCGGAAGUCAUCUUUUCUUUAAAAAAAUUUAAACUGAUACCAACCUUUUAUUACGUUGAUUUUACCGGCACUGCGUUUCUCUCGUCUUCUUGGCCUAACAAGGUCAGCUUAAUAAAUUUGACCUCAGGUCAAUGUCGUAGAAAAUGCCAUUUUGCAUGUCAUUGAUUCGUUACAUUGAAAUUGAGAUUAACAUCAGUAGCGGCGGAACACCUUCAAUCGAGGGGGCAUUGCCGACUUUUGGUCUCAUUCUUUCCAUGCAACGGCCAUAGGGCUAAUGUUAAAAUGCCAAAAUCAAAGGGGGCACGGUGCCCCGGUGCCCUCGACCUGUUCCGCCGCCUAUGAUUAUGAUGCUUUUAGCGCUCUGGCCACGUUCCAUCUAAAAUCGAUGUACAAAAAUAAACUGUUGGGACUUGGGAGGCGUUACAUGACCUGAGAUGACCUCAGGAGCAUACGAUAGAUCCCGAUGUUUGAGUGCUUUUGUUUCAAAAGCAGAACAUUUCGUCUUUCGAGUUCCUCAUACUGACUGAAACUGGAGACGUCGCAAAGUUGACCUGACCCUAGGUCACCACCGAUAUCAAAAUUAAAGAUAUUCAAGAUGUUGGUACUGAUUCUCUCAUGCAAUAGCUCGAGUUUCAAACUUC